CCUACGGGUGGCAGCAGUGAGGAAUAUUGGUCAAUGGCCGGAAGGCUGAACCAGCCAUGCCGCGUGAAGGUCAGUGCCCUAUGGGCGUUAAACUUCUUUUGUGCGGGAGCAAUAAUGGUCACGUGUGGCCAGACGAGAGUACCGUACGAAUAAGCAUCGGCUAACUCCGUGCCAGCAGCCGCGGUAAUACGGGGGGUGCAAGCGUUAUCCGGAUUUAUUGGGUUUAAAGGGUGCGUAGGCUGUGAGGUAAGUCAGCGGGGAAAUGCCCCCGCUCAACGGGGUGAAGUGCCAUUGAUACUGCCUUGCUGGAGUGCGGAUGCCGUGGGAGGAAUUCGUGGUGUAGCGGUGAAAUGCUUAGAUAUCACGAAGAACUCCGAUUGCGAAGGCAGCCUACUAAACUGCCACUGACAUUGAUGCUCGAAAGUGUGGGUAUCAAACAGGAUUAGAUACCCCUGUAGUC
Molecule: ribosomal RNA, 460 nt
Filed under: uncultured bacterium
Lineage: Bacteria
Description: partial 16S ribosomal RNA
Rfam family: Bacterial small subunit ribosomal RNA
Source: RNAcentral